This 312-nucleotide unclassified non-coding RNA is filed under the name uncultured fungus. Its description in RNAcentral is "partial contains 5.8S ribosomal RNA and internal transcribed spacer 2". The stretch from base 1 to 133 matches the Rfam family "5.8S ribosomal RNA", at positions 22 to 154 of the family's 154-position model. Lineage: Eukaryota; Fungi. The record is from RNAcentral.
UGGUUCUGGCAUCGAUGAAGAACGCAGCGAAAUGCGAUAAGUAAUGUGAAUUGCAGAAUUCAGUGAAUCAUCGAAUCUUUGAACGCACAUUGCGCCCUCUGGUAUUCCGGGGGGCAUGCCUGUUCGAGCGUCAUUACAACCCUCAAGCUCUGCUUGGUAUUGGGCGUCACCACCUGGUGCGCCCCAAAAUCAGUGGCGGUGCCGUCUGGCUUCAAGCGUAGUAAUUUCUCUCGCUUUGGAGUCCGGGCGCGUGCUCGCCAGAACCCCCAAUUUAUCAAGGUUGACCUCGGAUCAGGUAGGGAUACCCGCUGA